AAAUGGUGAAGUAUAUAAAUAUACAUUUAGUUUCGACCUAAAAAAAGAAGUAUUAACUUCCUCAUUUA
RNAcentral lists this transfer RNA (68 nucleotides) under Chilecicada sp. PL492. Its description in RNAcentral is "tRNA-Arg". Lineage: Eukaryota; Metazoa; Arthropoda; Insecta; Hemiptera; Cicadidae. The record is from RNAcentral.